Non-coding RNA from Coturnix japonica (Japanese quail), 555 nucleotides. The record is from RefSeq and is a predicted model, not a curated record. NCBI's taxonomy places the organism in Eukaryota, Metazoa, Chordata, Aves, Galliformes, Phasianidae.
CCACACGUGCCAUCGAGAUGCUCUGGCACGGGAUGUGCCUCCAACCCAAAGCUCCUUCCCACCUCCCAAGGAAAAGCAAAGCAACCCAAGCAUCUCCAGCAAAGCUGCCCAGCAGACAGCAGGGAAUGCAAACAGCUUCUGGCUGCUCCCCUGCACUCCUGUCCUAAGUAGGAAAACUAAUUUCUGAGCCAGGAGAAGAAGAAGUGCAACAUGCAACAAUCUUCCUUGCACUGUGCAGUUUGCAUGAGUAGCCAAGUGCUCCUCAGGUAACGUGUGCUGCAGAGCUGACCUUGGUGGCAGGGGCCGUGUCUUCGUUUUCUACCUGUCACGUGGGAACAUAAGAAGACUCUUCAGAGCAGGAGCUGCAGAGGAAGAUGAACGGCAUGAGAAGGUCAGCUGGUGCUGGAAGCGGCCGGUAUCUUAGUAGGAAUGAAGGUGAGUGCAGGAGCAGCUGCUGAGGGGAGGAAGGAAGUCCAUGCUAAUGAGCUCUGAAGCAUCUGCAGGUCCAGUACGAAAGGAGGCAGCAGUGAUGCUGGAGGGCACAUGGUGAGUGCG